Homo sapiens (human) is the source of this 6706-nucleotide long non-coding RNA. RefSeq lists it as uncharacterized. The record is from RefSeq and is a predicted model, not a curated record. NCBI's taxonomy places the organism in Eukaryota, Metazoa, Chordata, Mammalia, Primates, Hominidae. The transcript is spliced from 2 exons.
AGAUCCGUGUCCGAGGGUUCUGGCCCGGGCGCAUGUCAGAGGAGAGUAGCCCAAUUCAGGGUCCUGUAAGAAAACUGAACCGGAUCCCCGCCGGAGAAGAAAAUCCAGUUCGGGGGUUCCUGUUUGAGGGGAGAGGUCAGGUCUCUGGGUCCCCGAGUGAAGAAACAAGCUAGGUCGACAUUCUUGUCUGAUGGAGACACGGUGAACCCGGAGCCCGUGGAGUUACCUCAUACCCUCACUCACCGAGGAGGCCGUGACGUCCAAAGGCUUUUUCCUACGGUCCAUGGUCGUGGCAGAGGGUCCCGGUCCAGGAAGGACCCUUUCUACCCGACACAGGCCUCGUAAGCCUACCUCCGUCGCAACCGGAAGUGUCUUCGACAGCGACACUGAGUUUGCGUGAGUUUGCGACGCGAGUUUGUCAGCUCAGCGCCAUCUUGAGAAGGUCAGAGUGUGCUCUUAAGAACGUGAACUCCUGGGCCGGGCGCGGUGGCUCACGCCUGUAAUCCCAGCACUUUGGGAGGCUGAGGCGGGUGGAUCAGGAGGUCAGGAGUUUGAGACCAGCCUGACCAACAUGGUGAAACCCCGUCUCUGCUGAAAAUACAAGAAAAAAAAAAAAUUAGCCGAGCGUGGUGGUGCGCGCCUGUAUUCCCAGCUACUCAGGAGGCUGAGGCAGAAGAAUCGCUUGAACCUGGGAGGUGGAGGUUGCAGUGAGUCGAGAUCAAAAAAAAAAAAAACAAAGAACACGUGAACUCGAAAGCUGACUUUCUGGGUUGGAAUCGCUCUUCACGGCUUACUGCUUGUGUGACCUUGGGCAAGUUACUUAACUUCCGUGUGCCUCAGUUUCCAAAGGGGGAUAUAAUUUUAUUUACCUAAUGGGUCUUAGUGAGGAUUAGAUGAGUUAAAUGAGCUAGUCUUGAUAAAAAUGUUAAUGAUUAUGGUAGACAGACCAAUCACCCUCACCCCGACUCCCAGAUGUCUACCUUCUAAUCCCCAGAAUCUGGGUAUAUGGUGACCUUUAUAUAGCAAAAGAGAAUUGGCAGAGAUGAUGAAAUUAAAGCGAUUGAGAUGGGGAGCUAGCCUGGAUUGUGCAGGUGGGUCCCCUAUCAUCAAAACCAUCCUUAUAAGGGGUAGACAGGAUGGCCAGAGUCAGACAGAGAUCAGAGAUGCUUUGAAGAGGGAGAGUGGGACCACAUGCCUAGGUAUGCAGGAGGCCGCUAGAAAAAGCAAAGAAAUGAGCCCUCCUCCAGAGUCUCCAGAAGGAAUGCAGCAUUGCUGACACGGUGAUUUUAGUCUUGUAACACUCAUCUCAAACUUCUGACUUCCAGAACUCUACCAGAAUACGUUUGUGUUGUUUUAAGCCACCAAACUUGUGGCAAUUUGUUACAGCAGCAAGACGAAAGUGAUCAUAAUGAUUGUAACAGUGGCAUUUAGUAUAUGUGGGGCAUGUGUAUGACUCUUUGCAUAGAUUAUAUUAUAUAAUCCUUGCAAGAAUCCUAGAAGCGGACCUAUUAUCCACCAUAUUAGAGAGAAGAAAAAUGAGACUCAUCACAUCCUCAUCUCAUCUGUCUUUAUGGAGAAAAUGGGAAAAGGGAAAAGGAGAGGGGAAUUGAGGCAGUUGACUGUGUUCAGUCUUAUUUAUUUAUUUUCAUUUGUUUAUUUCUCCAAGUCCGCCAGUCUCUGAAAUUAGAACAGUAAGCAAUAUGAGAUAAUCGGGCCUAAUAAUGUUGUGAUUCUCUUUUCUUAAUGGAGUGGAAUGUUCUGUCCCCACAAGAAGGAUUAUACCUUAUAGACUUGUCUUGUUCAGAUUCUGUAUUUACCCAUUUUACUGAAACACAUACUAAAUUCCAUGUGUUUUUGUUACAAAUCUUCUGAAAGAAAAUGUGAAACAUUAAAAGGUAUUAAUAAUAAUUUUUUUUAAAAGGAAAAAAAAUGAGGCUCAGUUGCUUAAAUGGCAUGCCAGGGGUCAUUUCCCAGCUAGCAAGUGAAGGAGCCUUCAGUUAAAAAAUAACUCAAAGACAUUGAGUUAAUUAUUGGCGUGUUAUUUACUUGUAACUAGUGGAACCAGUAUAGACUGACUUCAUCUCAGAAAGCGAGGAAAGGAUUUAUAUAGAAGAAACACAGCUUCUAAACUAUGAAUGUUGGUUUUUUUGCCUAGCUGGACCCUGGCAAUGAAGCCAGUGAGUGUUCUGAUCCUGGAAAGCUAGAAAGAAAGUAAUUCUAGUUGCACGUGAAUGUCCCUGAAGACCAUGAGAAUUUAGCUUCCUCUGCACGAUGCCUGUCAGGGUCCUUGGUUGUCAUCUCCAUCUUAGCGAUGCAGGUUUGCACCCUCACCCUUGUCAGAAAUUCUCCCUAGAGUGGCAUCCAGCUGAUUGUAACCACCUCCCAAGCCACUUAAAUGACCAGGAGCAAGCUAGUGAGUCCCCUUUAUUCCCAGGCUCACUCAUUUUGCAGGCUGCAAAAGCACAAAAUAACUUAAUCUUGCAUUGACCAGAAUGCUCCCCUGUCAUACAAAUGAUUUUUCACAUAUCCCCCCAUUUCCUCAAACUCUCUCCUCUUUGUUUAUGUGUUCCAAGCAUCUGGGUCUAUCUGGAAUUGCCUUCCUCUACCAAGUACAAAAGUUGAAGCCCAGCCCAGUAUGUUCUUUACUCAGUCACCCUCUAAAUACAUGGACCUGGGUUUGUUCUGGAAGAAAGGGAGGGCAGGGACAUCCUAGUCUGGUGAAAAGAGCACAGGAUUUCCUCCGAGGCCGCUAGCACUCCGUUCCAGCUACGUUCCUUUAGUUAGUUUGGCAGCUCCCAUCUCCCCUCUGAGCCUCGGUUCUUUUACCCAGUUGGGCACACAGGAUGUUUGAGAUAAAGAGUGUAAGAAUGGUUUGCAAACUGAAAAUGCUGUGCCUGCAUCACUUGCAGGAUAGUUCUGCUCAGUGCCAGUUUUCUCACAGCAGAAGGCGUGUGCGUACCAACAGUCUGUGUUAUGACACUGCAUAUUUUGCAGUGUUUUGACCUCCGGUUUGUCCUUACCCCUGUUGAGUCCCAAGAGAGUGGGACUGGGUGGGAGAUUGAUUAUCUUCUUCCUUCUUAUAUCUUACUAGAUUUUAAUUAUCUAUGAAGUCUUUUAGGUGCUUUAAAUAAAGGGGGAGAGAGGAAAUCUUCUGAAGCAGAUGACAAUUAUUUCCCCCAAGCACAGCCACCAAGCCAUGCUCUUAUUUUGAAUGAUCUGCGUCAUUUUCCAACAUGAAGCCUCAGAAGGACAUGAUUACAGGCUGGACUCACCGACUGUAGCCUGUGCAGCUAUUGUAAUGUUUUAAUCAGUGAUUAAGUCAAGAGGUUUAAUUUAGUACCGGGCUCCGUUAAGCUUGUGAAAAUGGUUUUCUGCCUCCUCAAACUAAAAAUGUGUCUCUCCCCCAUGUGUCCAGCCCGAAGCAUCUUAACCUUUGUUCUAUCUUCAACACCGCUGGCUCUAACAAAUUACUCAGCAGUGAAUGAAUUAGCUGAGUCCAAUGUGUGAAAAAAGAUUAGGCUGGACCUAGGAAAAUUAGCUUCUAAGCACAGCACAGGAUGAGGCAUAAAGAUACCUGGACUCGUGCCCUGCAUGACAAAGAAGCUAAGCUUCAUUAGCGUCAGUCAUGACAUCCGUCAUUGGCAUUAUCUCAUUGAAUCCCUGCGACAACCUCAGGGGCAGAUGCUAUUAUUAUUCGCAUUUUGUAGAUGAAGAAAACUGAGACCCAGAGAAGGUAAAUAACUUGUCCAUGGUCACACAGGCAGUCUUGGUCCCAGGAUUUGAGUUGAGGCAGCCUAGCUCUGGGAUCCCCACACUGUCCUUCCUCCCUCGCUGGAUCUGAGACUACGUUAGCUUUGCAUUCAUUCAUUGAUUAACUCUGUUGGGGAAAGGGGACAUUUUAGGGAGCUACCCCAGAAUAGUUCUGCAGGAGGGACCUGUCUUUAGGUCAUUGCAAGCAGAGAUGACUAAGGAGGUGAGUGCCAGGAGUCCUGACCAUGCAAGCUAGAACUGGACAAGCAUCAUUUGGUAUCACGGAGAGCCCAGCCGAGCUUGCAAAUCUGGAGUAACAGGAUGGCCUAUGGGGCUUUUUCUGCAGCCUGGGGAAUUGGUGCCUGAGGCCAUGGCUAAAAAAAAAAAUGAGAGUUGCUAAAAACUACAGCCUCAAACUCUUAAUGGGGGCCCAAGUGCUGCCCCCCAGCUUCAACCCAAUGGCUUACUAUGAACAGGAGAAGAUGCUUUAUAGUGCUCAAAUCCACCCGACCCCACUGGAUUUAGAGAGGCAGCAGGGAAGUGGUAGAGGGAGCUGUCCACAUUAUGAGAUGUUGGCCUCAUAGAGAGGGACGGGAGGGACAUUUCUCUAAACUCCUAAAGCCAAGUGAGGGGCUCCAAAGAUGAGGAACAGAGUUCAAAUCAGAGAUCUGGCAAUGUCAUGGUGGGGAGUCUUGAAGGUGACCCAGCUGAACCCAAGAAGUAGGAAAAAGCAGAGAAAAGCCACAGCAAGAAGUAGGGAAAAGCAGAGAAAUGCCACAGUAAGAAGUAGAGAAAGCAGAGAAACAUCACAACUAGAAGCAGCCCAGGUCCCCGACCCUUCUUGUUGGCCCUGCGUUAGUUUCCUAGGGCCACCAUAACAAAAUGUCACAGACUAGAUGGCUUGAAACAAUAGAAAUUUAUUGUCUCACAGUUCCAGAGACUGGAAGCCCUAAAUCAAGGCAUCGCAAGGCCAGGUUCCCUCUGAAACCUGUAGGGGGAAUCCUUCCUUUCCUCCUCCCAGCCCCUGAUAGUGAGUGGCAGUCCUUGGCUUUCCUUGGCUUCUAGAUGUGUCCCUCCAGCCCUGUCUUCACGUGGCCUUCUCCCUGUGCCUGUCUUCACAUGGCCGUCUUCUUACAAGGACACCGGUUAUAUGAGGUUAGGGGCCCACUGUACUCCAAUGUGACCUCAUCUUAACUGAUUGCAUCUGUAACAACCCUAUUUCCAAAUAAGGCCACAUUCUGAGGUACUGAGGGAUAGGACUUCAACAGAUCUUCUUUUAGGGCGGGGUGCAGUUCAACCCAGAACAGGCCCUCCGUGUCAGUCUUGAAAAAGGCCAGCAGAGACCCUCAGUACUAAUGGGAGAGGAGACCUGAGACCCGUCCCAGAGAGCCGGGGUUUAUAAACUGGCUGAGAAAGGGACUGCCAGAGGGGUCAUGAAGGAAUGACAGUGGUGGGGGGCCAGAGGGGCUGCCUGAAGUGGAGAUGGGACAGAACAGAACUGCUCUGUGUGCACGCCCUGUCCAGGCCUAGCUGCUGGGGAGCUGGCUGCCCUUUCCUGCCAGUGAGGCCAGUCAGUGGGGUGCAGCAACCCUCACCCCCCACAGCAGGAAGGAGGAAACAAACUUUGGUUGGAACCACGGCGGGGCGCAGGCAGGAACUAAAGAGUGAAAAGGAGAGCACUCACAUUUGGGGAGGCACACAGAGAAGACCUUCUUGUCUUGCAGGGCUCUGGGGAGCAGAGCUAUCUGGGUGGAGUAUGGCCAGAUGUCAGCAGCACCCAGGCCAGCAGGCUCACAUGGCUGAAGGAGUCAGGAUAGGAUGGAGGCCAGAGAACAUGGAAGUGGGGCGCCCACAUCUCCUGGUGCUUCACAGGCCACUUAUAGGGACUUGGCGUUUACUCUGUGUGAAGUGGGAGCCGUGGAGGACACUGAGCAGAAGAGGUCUGUGGCCCAACUUAGGGCUUCAUGGGAUCCCUGUGGCUGCCAGAUUCAGAAGAGACCAUUUUAGCCAGAACAGUUCCCUAUCUGCAUACUUCCCAUGGACACACAGCAAGGGAGGCGACCAUGUACCUCUGUUUUAAGGACAGGUGUAUGCCUAAGAGACCAGACAGAACAUGCUUUAUGUCCACUAGCUGUGAGCCUUCAGAUAGCAGCCACUGUGUGCCAGGGACUCUGGUAAGUAUGUUAUGUAUUUUUUUCUUUGAAUAAACUUUACAAAAAUUUCAAACACCUUUAUACAUACAGAAAAGUUGCAAAGAUAGUGCAGAGUUCCCACGCACCCCACACCGUUUCCUGUGUUGCUAACGUCUUACUUUUCUUCAUCGUCCAUUCAUCACAACUAAGAAACCAAUCUUGAUACAUGCUGUUCAUUAAACUCCACCCUUUACUGGAUGUCACCAGUUUUCCCCAAUGUUGUUCUCCAGACCAAGGUCCCAUACGGGACACCACAUUGAAUUUAACUGUCACAUCUCCUUAGUCUCCUCUGGUCAGUAACAAAUUCUCAGACUUCCCUUGUUUCUGAUGACCUCAAUCGUUUUAAACAAUAUAGAUCAGGUAUCUUAUAGAAUAUGGCUCAGUGUGGAUGUAUGUGAUAUUUUUCUCAGAGUUUGCAUGGGAUCAUGAGUUUUGGGGAGGAACACCGCAGAGGUGAAGUGGCAUCUUCAUCGCAUCAUAUCAGGGGUAUGUGCUGUUGAAAUGACUUCACGGAUAGUAACCUUGGUCACCUGGCUCGAGGUAGUGUCUGCCAGGUUUCUCCACUGUAAAGUCACUUUUCCCCACUUUCCUUAUCUACUCUUUGGAAGCAAGUCACCUAGAUCAGCCCACUCUCAAGAGGCACUGUAAAUAGUUUUUAAAAUUUUAUUUUUAAUUGACAAAUAAUUGUACAUAUUUAUGGGGUACAAGUGAUGUUUUGAUAGAUGUUGACAAUGUGGAAUGAUUAAACUGGGCUAAUUAACAAA